Long non-coding RNA from Scylla paramamosain (green mud crab), 3448 nucleotides. RefSeq lists it as uncharacterized. The transcript is spliced from 3 exons. The record is from RefSeq and is a predicted model, not a curated record. NCBI's taxonomy places the organism in Eukaryota, Metazoa, Arthropoda, Malacostraca, Decapoda, Portunidae.
UAAUAGCAAUUUGUCCAACUGGUGGCGACGGCGGCGGUGGUGGUGGCGGUGAUGGUGGUGGUGGUGGUGGUGGUGGCGGGAAGGAGGGACUGUGUUGUUGUGUAUAGAUCUUGCAUAGGUGAGAAAGAGACGAGUGUAUAAAAAGAUGAUUUCCCUGUCUUUGUUCUCUCACCGGGACUGUUUUUAAAUAUUACAGGGAUUAUUAGUCUGUUUUCCAUAAGUGCUUUUCUUAUUACCGGCUGACGAUUUUUAACUAUCAUUAGAAUCAUGAACACGUCUUUAAAAACUCGAUUUUCACUACAACCUGUUUAAUGUAGCUUGGGUAAGAUGCCGAAGUGUUUAAGAAAGGGUCCCUCAUGGUGAAGUGAACCCUUUCCCUUCCACUCACACGCUGUGAGGACUGCACAGCCUUCACGGGUUUCUGCUGCAGUGCUGCAGUUCUCUACAAGACAACUAUUCUUCAGGAGUUGGGACUUUUUGAGUAAUGGGAUCUUGGUCUCACGUAUUGCAGAGUGAUUUCUUUGCUAAAAAUAUUUCCUGCUAUCCACAGCUUGAGACAGCUCAACAAUGUCUGCCGUGUUUUGUUGCUUCUUACUGAGUUAAUAGCGGUCAGUGAAAGCAUCUGAAUAGCUUUUACUCCAUAACGUGACAGAUCUGCAGAUUACAAAUUAGAUUAUUUCUUCCUGGAGAUGUGGUGCUCCGCUAAUAGGAAAUUAGAUUUGAAACUGUAGAUGGUGAAAAAGUUCAUGCACAGAAAGUUGAGGGAGUGACGAGGACACUUCUUGAAGUCGUCACUUUGGAAGUGGUCCUGCCAGAGGACAUUUGCCGUCCAUACCUUCUUGAUUUACUGCCACCAACAUGUUUGUGCCUCGCUCGACACUGCUGUUGGUGACACUCGGUAAUAGCAAGUUCCUCACCUUGACACCAUCUUUGUCACGGAUCGCUCCCAGAGACACUUCAGUCUGUCUCAUUGCAGUCUUGAUACUACUACUACUACUACUAACUAAAUCAGUAAUAGUAAUAAUCGUAGUGGAUACCAAUACAGUAAUGAUGUAGGUGCAAAACAUAGACCUAAGGACAUGCCAGUAGGUAAGCCUUCUAAUUCUAAGCACAGACAAUCCCGUGGCGAGGUGUCGGAGCAUGGCGACGAAACGUGUUCGAAAACUAGUCACGUAGGCAGAAUCAUCAAACAGCCUUCACACCCCGGACAGUUAAAUGCUGGAGGUGUUGUGUGCCACCCACGCUGGUCUGUGACACACUGCAUGCCACUGAAUCUUUGACCAUCGCCUCCACAUGCUUUGUUCCGGAACCACAUGUUCACCUACACAGUUCACUUUUUUUUUUUUUUCCAAGCGACAGAACGAAGAGUAAUGUAACUGUUCAUGACUGUUGUUUGUGUCUGAGUCUUACACAUCCCUUGCUGUGCAGUCUGCCCCACAGUGACCGUUCCUGAAAUGUUCUUUGUAGACACGCUGGUCGCUCAUCAGCAGCUGGCAUGACGCUUCGUCCCCGUGCUUCGACACUGAUCCGAAAAGUGUUCCACCACUACACGUGUGAGUGAUCGUGUCGACAAGCCUUCUUGCAUUUCAGGCUUGCCAGGCGUGUGUUCCAACCUGCUCGCCUCGCUGCCUAAAUGGCACUCACGCAUUUACCUGGCCUAGGGCAGCGCACAAACAACUGCCGGAAAUCUGUUUACUUUAGUCCUGUUUCGGAUAAAAGUUGAAACUGCGGUACGUACAAUGUCCUAGCGGGAGGUGGGGAGGAGGUAGAGGCUGACGGGGCGAGGGAGGGCAUUUUACGUGAGCAGGCUCUUCCCGCUUUCCAACCACUCAGUGACGGCGCGACACACAAGGGCGAUAUUUUUAAAGCUCUUCUUUUUUUAACCUCUCUGUUUCUCCAUAAUGAUAAUUUGUUGCACAGUUACUCAUCGUUUCUUCUUUGCCAUCAAGACACGGGAAGUGUGAAGGAAAAAGAGAAUAUCACGUUUAAUGUUGACCACCGUACUCGCGCGGCAGUCGUUGGCACGGAGAAGCGUGGUGGCGGCGCUGCGGCACGGCCUCCCAUAGCACGCACUACGUCUGCACGGUCUGAGUUUUGUAAGGCGAGUUCUCGAGUCUUUGGUGGCGGAGCAUGGAAACCACUCAAGCAGAGGCACCAUUAUCCGGCGGGAGUAAACAGUGCCUCCAUGAAUAUUUUCCUAGACGUGGCAGGACUCUUGUGUGCGAAGGAAUGAACAGCAUGCAAACGAUGUGUACAGUUCUGUGAAUCGGCUUGGCCAGAGCUAGAACAGGGCCCCGGAAAGGCACCGCCACAAAGAUAACAGUCGUGCGCUGGUCCUGCAUAUGGCGACCCCAUUUAGUCUCGACCCCCUCCCAAGCUGUCUCGCUGAUUAGCCACAUGUGGGGAUUCCGUGUGGCAAUGGUCGGCGCGGUACUGAUUGCGGUGGGAGAAAAUUAAUGCAAGCCUGUAGAGUCAAGCGUGUGAAGUGCGGCACAGGAGGGGGUGAGGUCGCAGUGAUGGGUUCAGUAUGAGGCCACGAACCUGUCUGCUGGAGGGAACACGCGAUAGGACACUGGCCAAAUCUGAGGAAGAAAAGACAUGUUUGCCGUUACCUCUGAGGCAGCGCAGAGAACCUUUCAGCGGCAGCGUGUGCGAAAUGUGGAAAUAUUUGGUGGGAGAAGGUCACGGGUCACGCGCAUCGGCAGGAGUGUGUGGCCAGUGUGGGAGCCUGGACCUGUCCUCCUGCAGAGCCGCGGCGACUUGACUCCAACACGACAUGGUGGGCAGACUGUGUGCCUUUUAUUCAUCCGCCCCCAGUGAGAUAGAUUCCGCUCCAAACGGCCCACCAUCACGUGAUGCGAAACGCGAGAGCGGCCACGGCGACCCUUGUCCAUCAGGCAGCAGGGGCGCCGACACUGUGCGGGGGAAAGAAGGACGUGGCGAGGGAGACAUUAAAAAUAUAAUAGAUAAAGUAAAAUAAAUAAGUAAAUAGAUAAAUAAAUAAAGGAAUACUGGACUGUACGUGGCAAGGUUGAGUGUUAGCAUUAAGGGUUUCAUGUUUCUACUUGACAGUUACAAAAGGAAAUGAUGAGUUAGGACAAUGUUGCAUGAGAAAAUAGAAUGUCUCGAAAUACAUAAUAAAAGCCACGUGGAGACCUGUUCUUGGGGUUCAGCUGUUUAGUUUAUUAAUCAUCUUUUGUCUGUAUUUUGGUCCCUGUUCCUCCUGUAUUACAUAAAAAAAAAAAAAAAAACUACUAGCAAAUUCUCCUUAGUUCCAUCUUAUAGCGCAGCCCGAUGGAUGCAGCAUUAUCAUAUUUCCUUACCCCAUACAUUCCUUUACUCCUGGAGGUCAAGUCUGGUGAGAGGGAAGUAAGCUCUCGCCUGCAGUUCGAGCAAUGGAAUCCAAUUAGCUGGAGCGUGCGUAGCCUGUCCGUAGCAGCCAUCCGCU